Molecule: non-coding RNA, 83 nt
Organism: Bombyx mori (domestic silkworm)
Lineage: Eukaryota; Metazoa; Arthropoda; Insecta; Lepidoptera; Bombycidae
Source: Rfam
UUAACUCAAAUUUGUAUGGAGUUGAAAGCUUCACUUCGUAUGCCGCUAGAGAGGCUGUUCCAACUACAUACAAAUUAGAGUUA